CGUCGCCCGCUGCCACGUCAGCGAAUCGGUCGCUCGGCGAGGGCCGAGCGAUGGUGUUGUUCGAUAAGGCAGCGGUGCUUCUUCAUCGUCGGGAGCUUCUUCCUCCCCCGAGCCAUCGACGACGGGAAAUGCGCUGACAGAGUCUCUGUACCGCGCAAGUUGGGCGUGAAUUCCGGAGAAAGCUUUUAUAUAGGGCUGCGACGCGGUCACUGUUUGCUACUUACUUGCCCGCUUUCCUGCGCUCAUCAACCAAGGAACCCGGCAGUUGAACUGUACUAAUCUGGACUGGGCGCACGUGUUGGUCGUCAUGGGCCGGGUGGAACGAAGAAAUGGCAGCACCAUCUUGACGGCGUUCCUGCUACUGCUGCCGUUGGCGUGGCUAACGCUGAAGACCGAGAGAUGCUCGGCGGCGAUCCUACUAAACAGCGCCCGCCAGUGGUGCAGCGUGUGCCCAUCCUCGGGUCAGCCCCUCGGUAACCGCUACGCCAUGUCCGCCUUUUGCUGCAGCAUCUUCACAAUCUGCUGUCCGCAAGGCACCGGCCUCAAUCCCUACCGACGAUGGCAAUGGAGCUAACUGUAUACUCGUAUUUCUUAUCAUGGUUUUUCUUAUUUAACUUUCUUUCUCGUACCUUAGUGGCACUGUAGACACUACUGUAAUAUAAAAUUCCUCGU
Rhipicephalus sanguineus (brown dog tick) is the source of this 672-nucleotide long non-coding RNA. RefSeq lists it as uncharacterized. NCBI's taxonomy places the organism in Eukaryota, Metazoa, Arthropoda, Arachnida, Ixodida, Ixodidae. The record is from RefSeq and is a predicted model, not a curated record. The transcript is spliced from 4 exons.